This 286-nucleotide non-coding RNA is filed under the name Clostridium saccharobutylicum. Its description in RNAcentral is "T-box sequence". It matches the Rfam family "T-box leader". From Rfam's summary of the family: Uncharged tRNA acts as the effector for transcription antitermination of genes in the T-box leader family. T-boxes are found upstream of many aminoacyl-tRNA synthetase genes and some amino acid biosynthetic genes usually in Gram-positive bacteria. The anticodon of a specific tRNA base pairs to a specifier sequence within the T-box motif, and the NCCA acceptor tail of the tRNA base pairs to a conserved bulge in the T-box antiterminator hairpin. The record is from RNAcentral. Lineage: Bacteria; Bacillati; Bacillota; Clostridia; Eubacteriales; Clostridiaceae.
UUAAAAAUAGUGAUAAGGAAUAGUAUAUUUAAGUGAACUUUUUAGAGAGCUAGAGUUUGGUGGAAGUCUAGUAAGUAAGCUUUAUAGAAGCAGCCUUUGAAUUUCAUUACUAAAAAAUAAGGAUUAACAGUAAUUUUGCAUUUAUGUGUUCAAUUUUUAAUUAGGUAAUGACGUGUUCCUCACGUUAUAGAGGUGGAGUAUUAAUGUUUUAGAUACUCCAGCUGAGUGAACAAUAUUUAUAUUGUUUAUUAGGGUGGUACCGCGAAGUAGUUCCUUCGUCCCUUGU